Molecule: ribosomal RNA, 279 nt
Filed under: uncultured bacterium
Lineage: Bacteria
Description: partial 16S ribosomal RNA
Rfam family: Bacterial small subunit ribosomal RNA
Source: RNAcentral
UGCCAGCCGCCGCGGUAAGACGAAGGUGGCGACCGUUGUUCGGAAUCACUGGGCAUAAAGCGCACGUAGGCGGUAACGUCAGUCAGGUGUGAAAUCCCUCGGCCCAACCGAGGAACUGCGCUUGAUACUGUGUUACUUGAGGGCAGGAGGGGAGCGUGGAAUUCCUGGUGGAGCGGUGAAAUGCGUUGAUAUCAGGAGGAACACCGGCGGCGAAGGCGACGCUCUGGCCUGCUUCUGACGCUGAGGUGCGAAAGCCAGGGGAGCAAACGGGAUUAGAUA